UACGUAGGGUGCAAGCGUUGUCCGGAAUUAUUGGGCGUAAAGAGCUCGUAGGCGGCCUGUCGCGUCUGCUGUGAAAUCCCGGGGCUUAACCCCGGGCGUGCAGUGGAUACGGGCUGGCUGGAGGCAGGCAGGGGAGAACGGAAUUUCCAGUGGAGCGGUGAAAUGCGUAGAGAUUGGAAAGAACACCGAUGGCGAAGGCACUUUACUGGGCUAUUACUAACACUCAGAGACGAAAGCUAGGGUAGCAAAUGGG
This 253-nucleotide ribosomal RNA is filed under the name uncultured bacterium. Its description in RNAcentral is "partial 16S ribosomal RNA". It matches the Rfam family "Bacterial small subunit ribosomal RNA", at positions 524 to 776 of the family's 1533-position model. The record is from RNAcentral.